UACGUAGGGUGCGAGCGUUAAUCGGAAUUACUGGGCGUAAAGCGUGCGUAGGCGGUUUUGUAAGCCAGAUGUGAAAUCCCCGGGCUUAACCUGGGAAUGGCAUUUGGGACUGCAAGGCUUGAGUGCGGCAGAGGAGACUGGAAUUCCUGGUGUGGCAGUGAAAUGCGUAGAUAUCAGGAGGAAUACCGAUGGCGAAGGCAGGUCUCUGGGCUGACACUGACGCUCAUGCACGAAAGCGUGGGGAGCAAACAGG
This 253-nucleotide ribosomal RNA is filed under the name uncultured bacterium. RNAcentral's name for it is "partial 16S ribosomal RNA". It matches the Rfam family "Bacterial small subunit ribosomal RNA", at positions 524 to 776 of the family's 1533-position model. The record is from RNAcentral.